Long non-coding RNA from Nerophis ophidion (straightnose pipefish), 480 nucleotides. RefSeq lists it as uncharacterized. The transcript has 2 exons. The record is from RefSeq and is a predicted model, not a curated record. Lineage: Eukaryota; Metazoa; Chordata; Actinopteri; Syngnathiformes; Syngnathidae.
GCACGGACGAUGACAAGGUAAGGAACAGAAGCUCAUCCUCGACAAGGCAAAAGGAUGCGUCCAUUAGAAAGGUUUACAGAUUUGGAACACGAUUGUGGUCUCCCUGAUUGAGUGGUUCUCGACAGUUCAACAGUUCUUUGACAAAAUUGUGAAAUGUUUAGGACCACUUGACCAGUCAGACAUUUGCAGCUAAGCGGCAUCAUCAGCCUUCCAAUGGACCUGCAAGGCAAGAAGACUCACAUUGGAUCAGCAUUUUUAAACGAUCUUAGUCAUCUUCCGCUGUUUGUGCCUCCUUGUGUUGAAAAGACAACUAACCGCCUAAAAACUGCAGAGGGCUUUAAAAAAAAAUACCCCGCCAGGUUUCAUUUCACUCUGCUGGCAUGCACACUCUUUGUAACAGCUUUACUGCUUGCUCGUAUUUUCUCUGUUUAUUGUUUCUGUGAUUAAAAGUACUGAUUAAAACAAGACAAUAAAAAUAAA